GAUGAACGCUAGCGGCAGGCUUAACACAUGCAAGUCGAGGGGCAGCAUGACGGAACUUUCGGGUUCUGUUGAUGGCGACCGGCGCAAGGGUGCGUAACGCGUGAGCAACUUGCCCUUAUCAGGGGGAUAACCGUUGGAAACGACGACUAAUACCCCAUGGUGUGAUGACGAGGCAUCUCGUUGUCACUAAAGAUUCAUCGGAUAAGGAUAGGCUCGCGUGACAUUAGCUGGACGGCGGGGUAACGGCCCACCGUGGCGACGAUGUCUAGGGGUUCUGAGAGGAAGGUCCCCCACACUGGAACUGAGACACGGUCCAGACUCCUACGGGAGGCAGCAGUGAGGAAUAUUGGUCAAUGGUCGGGAGACUGAACCAGCCAUGCCGCGUGAAGGCGACGGCCCUAUGGGUCUUAAACUUCUUUUGUGAGGGAGCAAUAAGUCUCACGUGUGGGACGAUGAGAGUACCUCACGAUAAGCAUCGGCUAACUCCGUG
Molecule: ribosomal RNA, 490 nt
Filed under: uncultured bacterium
Lineage: Bacteria
Description: bacterial SSU rRNA
Rfam family: Bacterial small subunit ribosomal RNA
Source: RNAcentral